AGCAGCCGCGGUAAUUCCAGCUCCAAUAGCGUAUAUUAAAGUUGUUGCAGUUAAAAAGCUCGUAGUUGAAUUUCGGGAUUGACACAUCGGUCGUGCCUUAAGGGGUAUGAACUGGUGUAGUCAAUUUCUCACCUUCUGGAGAACCGCGAUGCCCUUAAUUGGGUGUCGCGGGGAACCAGGACCUUUACUUUGAAAAAAUUAGAGUGUUUAAAGCAGGCAUUUUGCUUGAAUACAUUAGCAUGGAAUAAUAAAAUAGGACGGCAUGAUUCUAUUUUGUUGGUUUCUAGGAUCACCGUAAUGAUUAAUAGGGAUAGUUGGGGGCAUUAGUAUUCGAUUGUCAGAGGUGAAAUUCUUGGAUUUAUUGAAGACUAACUACUGCGAAAGCAUUUGCCAAGGAUGUUUUCAUUAAUCAAGAACGAAAGUUAGGGGAUCGAAGACGAUCAGAUACCGUCGUAGUCUUAACCAUAAACUAUGCCGACUAGGAAUCAGACGAUGUUAAUUUUUAAUGUACUCGUUUGGC
RNAcentral lists this unclassified non-coding RNA (520 nucleotides) under uncultured Entrophospora. RNAcentral describes it as "SSU rRNA". It matches the Rfam family "Eukaryotic small subunit ribosomal RNA", at positions 569 to 1084 of the family's 1831-position model. Lineage: Eukaryota; Fungi; Glomeromycota; Glomeromycetes; Entrophosporales; Entrophosporaceae. The record is from RNAcentral.